This 71-nucleotide transfer RNA is filed under the name Urocitellus parryii (Arctic ground squirrel). RNAcentral describes it as "Spermophilus parryii (Arctic ground squirrel) tRNA". It matches the Rfam family "tRNA". From Rfam's summary of the family: Transfer RNA (tRNA) molecules are approximately 80 nucleotides in length. Their secondary structure includes four short double-helical elements and three loops (D, anti-codon, and T loops). Further hydrogen bonds mediate the characteristic L-shaped molecular structure. tRNAs have two regions of fundamental functional importance: the anti-codon, which is responsible for specific mRNA codon recognition, and the 3' end, to which the tRNAs corresponding amino acid is attached (by aminoacyl-tRNA synthetases). tRNAs cope with the degeneracy of the genetic code in two manners: having more than one tRNA (with a specific anti-codon) for a particular amino acid; and 'wobble' base-pairing, i.e. permitting non-standard base-pairing at the 3rd anti-codon position. Lineage: Eukaryota; Metazoa; Chordata; Mammalia; Rodentia; Sciuridae. The record is from Rfam by way of RNAcentral. RNAcentral also lists the same sequence under 2 other names.
GGAGAUGUAGCUUAGUGGAGGAACAUUUGCCUAGCAUGCAUAAGACCUGGGUUCAAACCCCAGCACCACAA